This 925-nucleotide long non-coding RNA is filed under the name Acromyrmex echinatior (Panamanian leafcutter ant). RNAcentral's name for it is "uncharacterized LOC105149224, transcript variant X3". The record is from RNAcentral. Lineage: Eukaryota; Metazoa; Arthropoda; Insecta; Hymenoptera; Formicidae.
AGCGAUCAACUCCGGCUCCGGAUAGUGGUGGUACGGAAGUGUGUAUAAAUAUGGUAAAAUCGCUGAAGAGUAUAGUAUUUAGAAUGAAAUAUAUUAUUUUUAUAAGAAAGAAUGCGGAAACUUGAAAGAAGAAUAGAGAGAAGAUUGUUGCGCGAUGCGCAAAAUCCAUUUGAACAACAAGAAUUUAUUGUACAGUUCAGACUAAACCAAGUUUUGAUCAUGCAAAUUGUUAAUAAUUUAAGACAAGAUUUAGAAAAACAACGUAUAACUGGUCUCUAGAAAUUCAAGUUUUGGUUGCAAUUGAUUUUUUUGCUCAUGGUUCUUAUCAAAGACCAGCUGGAAACCAAUGCGAAUUAGUAAGUCAGCCAACUACUAGCCGUUGCAUACGUAAAGUGCAUAAUAAAUACAUAAUUAAUAAAUAUACAUUUAUUAUGCCAAUGGAUAAAAUUUUCCAUGAUGCCACAUGAAAAGACUACUGCAAUAGAACAAAUUUGCACUAGCUGCACAGAUAUUUCCUCGAGCUGUUGGAGCUACUGAUUGUACGUACAUAAAUAUUCUUGCAUCACAUGUUCAUGAAGAAGCAUAUGUUAAUCACCAUCAUUCUUUGAAAGCAAUAGUUGAUUCAGAUAUGAAAAUAUUAAAUAUAAAUGCACGAUACCCAGAUAGAUGCAAGGAAUGAUGCAUAUAUCUGGAGUGCUUCUCCAAUUAAACGUGUCAUGGAACAUUGGUAUAACCAAGGGGAAAAUUUAUUUAAUUGGAGAUGCUGGAUAUCCAUUAGAGCCAUGGUUAAUGACACCGUUGACAAAUUAUCCUCAGUGGAAUCGCUAGUGUCAUUAUAAUCAGAAAUUAUGUAAAACACGGAGUAUCGUUGAAAGAUUAUUUGGAAUUUUAAAGGAAACGUGGAGAUGUUUGUCUUACCAACGUA